GGGUGUGAUUUCUCCCUGGCAACUUUCGGCGAUAAACCUUGGGAACUGGGGUCUAAAUCCCCGGGAUUUAGGACACCUGUGUUUAAGUUCCAACUUGUGGAAAUUUUUCGGUCCAGAAUGAGCUCCCGGCCUAUCAGCUGUUGUCGGGUAAAUGGCCUACCAAGGCGUCGACGGGUACCCGGCCCGAGAGGGUUUACGCCACAUUGGGACUGAGAUCGGCCCAGACUCCUACGGGAGNCACCAUUGGGGAAUAUUGCACAAUGGCCGGAAGCCUGAUGCAGCGACGCCGCUUGGGGGAUGAAGGCCUUCGGUUGUAAACUCCUUUCGACAGGGACGAAGCGUAAGUGACGGUACCGGUAUAAGAAGCACCGGCUAACUACGUGCCAGCAGCCGCGGUAAUACGUAGGGUGCGAGCGUUGUCCGGAAUUACUGGGCGUAAAGAGCUCGUAGGUGGUUUGUCGCGUCGUCUGUGAAAUUCCGGGGCUUAACUCCGGGCGUGCAGGCGAUACGGGCUGACUUGAGUGCUGUAGGGGAGACUGGAAUUCCUGGUGUAGCGGUGAAAUGCGCAGAUAUCAGGAGGAACACCGAUGGCGAAGGCAGGUCUCUGGGCAGUAACUGACGCUGAGGAGCGAAAGCAUGGGUAGCGGAGGGGAGGAUUAGAUACCCUGGUAGUCCAUGCCGUAAACGCCUGCGCGCUAGGUGUAGGGGGCUUCCACGUCUUCUGUGCCGUAGCUAACGCAUUAAGCGCCCCGCCUGAGGGAGUACGCCGCAAGGCUA
This 777-nucleotide ribosomal RNA is filed under the name uncultured Actinomycetes bacterium. Its description in RNAcentral is "bacterial SSU rRNA". It matches the Rfam family "Bacterial small subunit ribosomal RNA", at positions 117 to 896 of the family's 1533-position model. Lineage: Bacteria; Bacillati; Actinomycetota; Actinomycetes. The record is from RNAcentral.